UACGGAGGGUGCGAGCGUUGUCCGGAAUCACUGGGCGUAAAGGGCGCGUAGGUGGCCUGUGGAAGUCUGCGGUGAAAGCCCGGCGCUCAACGCCGGGUCGGCCGUGGAUACUCUCGGGCUUGAGCUUACUAGAGGCAGAUGGAAUUCCGGGUGUAGCGGUGGAAUGCGUAGAGAUCCGGAAGAACACCGGUGGCGAAGGCGGUCUGCUGGGGUAAUGCUGACACUGAUGCGCGACAGCGUGGGGAGCAAAUAGG
Molecule: ribosomal RNA, 254 nt
Filed under: uncultured bacterium
Lineage: Bacteria
Description: partial 16S ribosomal RNA
Rfam family: Bacterial small subunit ribosomal RNA
Source: RNAcentral